Molecule: ribosomal RNA, 505 nt
Filed under: uncultured bacterium
Lineage: Bacteria
Description: partial 16S ribosomal RNA
Rfam family: Bacterial small subunit ribosomal RNA
Source: RNAcentral
GACGAACGCUGGCGGCGUGCCUAAUACAUGCAAGUAGAACGCACAGUUUAUACCGUAGCUUGCUACACCAUAAACUGUGAGUUGCGAACGGGUGAGUAACGCGUAGGUAACCUGCCUGGUAGCGGGGGAUAACUAUUGGAAACGAUAGCUAAUACCGCAUAAUAUUAAUUAUUGCAUGAUAAUUGAUUGAAAGAUGCAAUUGCAUCACUACCAGAUGGACCUGCGUUGUAUUAGCUAGUAGGUGAGGUAACGGCUCACCUAGGCGACGAUACAUAGCCGACCUGAGAGGGUGAUCGGCCACACUGGGACGGAGACACGGCCCAGAAUCCUACGGGAGGCAGCAGUAGGGAAUCUUCGGCAAUGGGCGAAAGUCUGACCGAGCAACGCCGCGUGAGGGAAGAAGGGUUUCGGAUCGUAAAGCUCUGUUGUAAGAGAAGAACGGGUGUGAGAGUGGAAAGUUCACACUGUGACGGUAUCUUACCAGAAAGGGACGGCUAACUACGUG